Gastrolobium bilobum is the source of this 4816-nucleotide RNA transcript. RefSeq lists it as uncharacterized. NCBI's taxonomy places the organism in Eukaryota, Viridiplantae, Streptophyta, Magnoliopsida, Fabales, Fabaceae. The transcript is spliced from 18 exons. The record is from RefSeq and is a predicted model, not a curated record.
ACACACAGUCACAGAGACUCGGUUGGCGAAUUCCAUUCUAAAUCUGAUGAACCAAUGUCCCUUUAUGUGUUUUGGAUGAUUCAAAUGUGUUGACAAAUUCCAAUUGGAGAUUCGGAGUGAGGCUCUGGGUACUGUUUGGGGAAACUUAAUCAUGUCUUCCACCACCUUCAGUCCCUCUCGGAGCCCCGGACCCGGAAGUUCAAGGUUUCAGUUAGCGGCUAUAUCCAGGUUGAGAUCCUCCUUCCUCAAGAAGCUUCCGGAGCCUCUACGCCGUGCCGUCGCCGACUGCCUCUCCUCACCCCUCACUUCCACCAUUGAACCUUCAAGGACCCUUCGGGACUAUCUGGCAGCCCCUGCAACCACAGAUUUGGCUUAUAGUGCACUUCUGGAGCAUACUAUUGCAGAGAGGGAGCGAAGUCCUGCAGUAGUCAGAAGGUGUGUGACACUUCUGAAACGGUAUCUUUUGAGAUACAAACCAAGCGAGGAGACUUUACUUCAGAUAGAUCGUUUUUGUUCAACCAUUAUUACUGAAUGUGAUAUUAACCUGAAUCGACCAUGGUCAAGAUCUUUGAAUCAACCAUCGGGUGCAUCAACAACAUCUGCAAAUACAUCUCCUUUGCCUGUAUCUAGCUUUGCUUCUGAGGCAGUUGUGAAGUCACUGAGUUAUGUGCGUUCCCUAGUGGCGCAACACAUUCCAAAGCGGCUUUUUCAGCCAGCUUCAUUUGCUGGACCACCUUCUGCAUCUGGACAAUCGCUGCCAACAUUGUCAACGUUGUUGAGUAAAUCCUUCAAUUCCCAGCUGUGUCCAGCAAGUGUACCAGAAACACUGGAGAAGGAUUCAGCCACUUCAUUGGUUUCAAAGUCAUCAAAAAUUGAAAAAAUUGAUGAAAAGGAUGAAUUUGGGUUCAUUGCCCAUGAUGUUCUGCAAUGGCGCUGGCUUGAGGAACAGCAGUCAUCAUCAAUGCCAAAUGAAAAUGAUAGUGCUGUGAAUUCGCAAGACAUGAGAGCACAUAAUUUCUUAGAAGUAGGUGCUGCAGCUCUACUUCUAGGAGACAUUGAAGCUAAGAUGAAGGGGCAACCAUGGAAAUAUUUUGGAACUGAUGAUAUGCCUUACUUGGAUCAACUAUUGCAGUCUUCUCCAGUAACAUCAAUUACUAAUUCUGCAUCUGCUCGUCCCCACCUAAGAGCAAUAACAGCAUCUAAACGCACAAAAACAGGCCCCCAUCAAGUUUGGCAUGAUUCUCCUGUGAGUACAUUCCGUCCUCGAGCUCGACAGCUCUUCCAGUAUCGUUGUUACAGUGAGCAACAGCCUUUGCGACUGAACCCAGCCGAGGUAUGUGAAGUUAUUGCAGCAGUUUGCUCAGAGAUUUCUUCACCAAAUACCAAUGUCAUGACAAUGUCAACUAGGCUACGCAAUAACGGUGGAAAACCGUCAAUGGAUGUGGCUGUGAGCGUCCUUAUUAAACUAGUUAUUGACAUGUAUGUUUUAGAUUUUCGGAUUGCUACUCCACUCACUCUUUGUAUGCUUGAGGAGAUGCUUAGUUCUUCUGAAACAGCUUGCAGAGUUCGAGCAUUUGAUUUAAUUCUAAAUCUUGGGGUUCAUGCUCAUCUCCUAGAACCAAUGAUAACUGAUGAUGCUUCCACAAUUGAAGAGGAAUAUUCUCAAGAAUCUUUUUAUGACAGUGAUACUCAAUUUAUGGCCCAGGGGAGCAGAAAAGGAAAUUCUCAGAACAAAUUGGAUACUUUCUCUGCAAUUGAUAAUUUAGAGUCUUGGAUUUUAAAUAUUUUGUAUGAGAUACUACUUCUUCUGGUACAGACUGAAGAAAAGGAGGAAUCUGUCUGGGCGUCUGCACUCAGUUGUUUGCUUUAUUUUGUCUGUGAUAGAGGAAAGAUUCAGAGAAACCGAUUACAAGUUCUUGACAUAAGGGUUAUCAAAGCACUAAUAGAAACCAGCAGGAGGAAUUCUUGGGCAGAAUUAGUUCAUUGCAAGCUUAUUUCCAUGUUAGCUAACAUGUUUUAUGAAGUUCCUGACGAAGUUGUUGAGCCUUUACCUAGCACACCAAAGUUUCUCGUGAAUCAACUUGAUCUGAUUGGAGGAGUUCAAUUUCUUUUUCGUGAGUAUGCCCUUGUGAACUCAAGAGAAGAGAGGAAAAAUCUGUAUUUGGUGCUUUUUGACUACAUUCUGCAUCAAAUUAAUGAAACAUGUGUAGCUACAGGAGUCAAUGAAUAUAGUGAUGACGAGAUCCAACCACUUGCUACUCUGCUUGCUCAAACAAAUGCAGCUGAGGCAUUUUAUAUUUCUGUUAAACUUGGGGUAGAAGGAAUUGGGGAGCUUUUGAGAAGAUCAAUUGCAUCUGCACUGUCCAGAUAUCCCAACAGUGAACGUCUAAAUACGCUCUUGGAAAUUGUAACAGAGAAAUUUGACACAAUAAUAAGUUCAUUCACUCAUUUGGACAAAGAAUUCUCUCAUAUGAUUCAGAUAACCAAAACUCAGAAGUCUCUUGAAAAUAUGGAAGCUGUUGCUCUGAGAAAUGGCAUUGAUCUGCAUACAAAGCAUUCAUGGACUACUUUACAUUCCCUUCUUCAUUCUGAAAGAAUUGCUUAUCGUCAAAAUGGAUAUAUCUGGUUAGGUGAUCUGCUUAUUGAUGAAAUUAGUGGGGAAAGAGAUGGAACUAUAUGGUCAAAUAUAAAAUACUUCCAGCAGAAAAUUGCUCAAGCUGGAAAACAGGAUUCUUCAGAUACAUCAGAUGCUCCUUUGUCCAUUUCACUUAUGUGUGGGCUUCUAAAGUCAAAACAUAACUAUAUUAGAUGGGGAUUUUUGUUUGUUCUUGAAAGGCUUCUUAUGAGAUGUAAAUUUUUGUUAGAUGAGUAUGAAAUGCAACAAUCAAGGAGCAGUGAUCUUGGGCGUGGCCAGAAAGAUUGGCAUCUUGAGAAAGCCCAUGCAGUGAUUGACAUAAUGAGCAGUGCUUUGUUGUUUCAGAUCCAUAAGUAUGAAACAGACCUCAUCAAUAUUCUGAAAAUGUGUGACAUAUUAUUCUCCCAAUUGUGUCUAAGAGUUCCCCCGGCUAUGGCUCUGCCCUAUAGAGAUGAUAUGCAGCACAACAGAAGUUUAAAGUGCUACAGUUCAAACAAAAAGUUUGAUGGUGAUAGUCGCAUUCCUAAACAAGAUACUUUUCAGUUGGAUGAACAAAAUGAGGAAGAAGCUGGUAGAAGAUCCGGCUGCCCUAAUAUCUACCAUCCGGAUCAUGAGACUGCAUCAAUGGCAGCACUUCUUCUCCAGGGACAAGCCAUUGUCCCAAUGCAAUUAACUGCACGUGUUCCUGCUGCUUUGCUAUAUUGGCCACUUAUGCAAUUGGCCGAAGCAGCAACAGAUGAUAUUGCAUUGGGUGUUUCUGUUGGAAGUAAAGGGAGAGGAAACCUGCCUGGUGCCACAUCUGAUAUUCGGGCCACCCUUCUCCUACUUCUUAUUGGUAAAUGCACGGCAGAUGCUGCUGCUUUCCAGGAAGUUGGUCGAGAACAAUUUUUUAGGCAACUUUUGGAUGACACAGAUUCAAGGGUGGCAUAUUAUUCUUCGGCUUUUCUUCUAAAGCGAAUGAUGACCGAGAAGCCUGAGAAAUAUCAACACAUGCUUCAGAAUCUUGUUGUGAAAGCUCAGCAGAGCAACAAUGAAAAACUGUUAGAGAAUCCUUACCUUCAAAUGCGUGGCAUAAUUCAACUGGCAAAUGAUCUUGGAUUUGACUUGUGAUCUUCAUAUCAUGGCUUUCUGGGAUGUGAUAUUGGUUUGGAGUGGAUUUGUGGUGGUCCAAGGGAUCAUCACUACUGGUUCUGAGGAUCAUUCAUCAUAUCAUUCAAAUGACUGAGAUUGAAACACUUAGCCGGGACAUACUUUAACUUUGUAAGCUUCCUUCCGGAAACCAAAUUGUGAUUUAUUUUCAACAUGGUGGAAGAGAAUAUAGUGGCGGCCAGGGAGUUCAGUGGGAUUCAAUGAGCUCUUAUAUUAUUCUUAGAAAUAAUUGACAGAACAUGCCCUCAAUGCAUUUCGAUCUCUUCAGUGAUAUUUCUCUGCGUGGGCCAUGUUGAUAUUUGUUAUCAUGUCUUCAUCUGCAGCAUGUCUUUCAACCAUUGAGAGACCGUUUACUUGGGAAAAUUUAUUAAACUUUGUGGUUCUGCUGAAGGAGUUUGGCUGCAUGGUAAGUGAAAGCCAGUGUUCUGUUCAGGAAUACAUUUGAACAUCAUCCUUGAUUUUGAUUCAGAUGCAGAAAUGUUGCUGAUCUAGGCCUCAACAUGUCCUCAGUUGCUGGCUCGUCAUUUACAUUAGAAGAAAUUGUGUGCUGAAUUUGCACAGAAUAAGAUUCCCACCGAGCUGUCUUCAGUUUUGUCAUUCAUGAAAGGCAAUCUAUAUGCUUGCUUUUUUACUUGGCAUAGUGGAGCUUUCAUGAAAUUCAAAGAACUUUUGUACAUUGUCAAUACAAUCACGGUUCAACAAAAUCCUUUGAUAGGGACAUCAUGUGAUGCCUACUUUUAGAGGCAUCCAAGUUGCUCUCAAUUUUCUGUAAUUAUGUGCUCUAUAUUUUAUUUUGAUUUUUUUCCUUUGUGAUUUAGCUCUUCAAUCGCGGAAACUGUAACAUGUAUUGAGAAAUUACCGUGUAGAUAGAUAUACAGGGUUUUGGAGAGAAAAUUUUGUGUAGGGCAGUUCGUUAUGUGAUUGGAUCAUGUAAUUUCUUGCUUCUUUUAAUAUAUUUGCUGUUAAGAUUUGCAAAGUUCUAGAUCAGUAGGGGUGACAAUUUUUGAGAAGACGUUCGAGUGAUUUGUUUUU